RNAcentral lists this long non-coding RNA (209 nucleotides) under Capsella grandiflora. Its description in RNAcentral is "long non-coding RNA (CGRA_LNC000313)". Lineage: Eukaryota; Viridiplantae; Streptophyta; Magnoliopsida; Brassicales; Brassicaceae. The record is from RNAcentral.
GUCUCACGAUUCUUCUCUGUUCUAAUCCCUUACUCCUCUAGUCUACCUAUUAUCCUUUCAUCAUCUCAUCUCAUCAUGUCAGAUUCAGUUUCCACUAAAGAACUUGAUCCAGCUAGAAAACAUGCAACUCCUGUUGUUGGUAAGCAUGGUAGUUGGAUGUGUAUCUACUGCAAAAAAGUAACAAGCGGUGGAGUACAGCGAGCUAAGCA